AACUGAAGCAGGAAUGUUUAUAUACAACAACAGCAAAAUAAAACUCAACAUUUAUAAAACACAUUUAAGGUAAUGUAGAUUUUACAGAAUAUCUUAAAGGAAGAAGUAAAGUGGAAAGGUGUUAUGAGAUGUCCCAGAGCUUAGGGCCUAGGCAACUGUAAACUUACAAUGGGGAAGUGAUUAAAAUUGGGGCUGCUCAUGGGACCAGAUUUAAUUAGCAGAGAUAUUUGUGUGAAGAGGGUUGUGGGGCUGGUGGAGAUUACACAGACAGGGACUGAAUAUUUUAAAAGAAGGCAUUGUUUGAUCAAUAUAGGUGAACAAACACUGAGAUAGGUGAAAGAGACUCUGUGUGUUAGGACAUGAGUAACAGAGUCUUAGAUGACCUCAAAUUUACUUCAAGAAUGUGGGAGUUGAGCCUGCAGUAUGUUGAGUAGUCAACCCUAGAGGUGCAGAAAAUGAGAAUAAGGAAUUUAACAGCAGGUGAGAUGAAGCAUGGUGAAUUCAGGCAAUGUUAAGGGAGCAGAGAUAGGCAGUCUUAGCAAUAAUGUGACUGUGCGGUCAGCAAAAUUAUGAACAGUGUAGUUUAGUCUCAAAGCGUUGCCAGGAGAAAGGAUGGUUUCAGUAGCUUGGGAUUCAGUGACUGAAACGAAUGUUUUUUUUUCAGAAAUUUAAUUGGAACAAAUUUCUGUUCAUUCAGGAAUGCUCGUUUGAGAAGCAGUCUGAUAAUUCAGCAGAAAUGGAAGGGUGGACUGAUGUGAACUGUCUUGAUAAUGUGGCUCAGGCAGAAACCUGAUUGGACUGUUUCAGCAGGAUGUUCUGGAAGAGGUGAUGAUGGAUUUGGAGGUGAUAACUUAGGUGCUAUCCUCCAGUUUCAGAGAUGGUGUGCUUGGAGAGUACCGGAAAGAAGAAAAACAGAAGAAUGAAGUCAUAGAG
Rhincodon typus (whale shark) is the source of this 933-nucleotide long non-coding RNA. RefSeq lists it as uncharacterized. The transcript has 3 exons. The record is from RefSeq and is a predicted model, not a curated record. Lineage: Eukaryota; Metazoa; Chordata; Chondrichthyes; Orectolobiformes; Rhincodontidae.